Molecule: transfer RNA, 72 nt
Filed under: Candidatus Kaiserbacteria bacterium
Lineage: Bacteria; Candidatus Kaiseribacteriota
Description: tRNA-His
Rfam family: tRNA
About the family: Transfer RNA (tRNA) molecules are approximately 80 nucleotides in length. Their secondary structure includes four short double-helical elements and three loops (D, anti-codon, and T loops).
Source: RNAcentral
GCGACUAUGGUGUAACGGUUAACACUGGAGCUUGUGGAGCUCUCAAUUCGGGUUCAAUUCCCGAUAGUCGCC